Molecule: non-coding RNA, 294 nt
Organism: Pelobates cultripes (western spadefoot toad)
Lineage: Eukaryota; Metazoa; Chordata; Amphibia; Anura; Pelobatidae
Source: the annotation of a GenBank genome assembly
GUGAGGGGGUGACAGAGUGAGGGAAGGGGAUGACUGGUGACAGAGUGAGGGAGGGGAUGACAUGUGACAGAGUGAGGGAGGGCGUGACUAGUGAGAGAAGGAGGGAGGGAGUAGUGACAGAGGGAGGUGGUGACUAGUGACAGAGUGAGGGAGGUGGUGACUAGUGACAGUCACCACCUCCCUCACUCUGUCACUAGUCACCCCUUCCUUCCCUCACUCUGCCACUAGUCACCCCUUCCCUCACUCUGCCACUAGUCACCCCUUCCCUCACUCUGUCACUAGUCACCCCCUCAC